This 465-nucleotide ribosomal RNA is filed under the name Vreelandella stevensii. RNAcentral's name for it is "partial 16S ribosomal RNA". It matches the Rfam family "Bacterial small subunit ribosomal RNA", at positions 338 to 795 of the family's 1533-position model. Lineage: Bacteria; Pseudomonadati; Pseudomonadota; Gammaproteobacteria; Oceanospirillales; Halomonadaceae. The record is from RNAcentral.
CCUACGGGAGGCAGCAGUGGGGAAUAUUGGACAAUGGGCGAAAGCCUGAUCCAGCCAUGCCGCGUGUGUGAAGAAGGCCUUCGGGUUGUAAAGCACUUUCAGUGGGGAAGAAAGCCUUGGGGCUAAUACCCUCGAGGAAGGACAUCACCCACAGAAGAAGCACCGGCUAACUCCGUGCAAGCAGCCGCGGUAAUACGGAGGGUGCGAGCGUUAAUCGGAAUUACUGGGCGUAAAGCGCGCGUAGGCGGUCUGAUAAGCCGGUUGUGAAAGCCCCGGGCUCAACCUGGGAACGGCAUCCGGAACUGUCAGGCUAGAGUGCAGGAGAGGAAGGUAGAAUUCCCGGUGUAGCGGUGAAAUGCGUAGAGAUCGGGAGGAAUACCAGUGGCGAAGGCGGCCUUCUGGACUGACACUGACGCUGAGGUGCGAAAGCGUGGGUAGCAAACAGGAUUAGAUACCCUAGUAGUC